UAUGUCUCUGUCAGUACAAAUACCUACGGUACACAAACGAUGAAACGUGAAGUUACGGUCUUCUAGAAAUCAUAAUUUUUUGGGAUUUUUAUUUAAAAAUUAACAGGCUAGCUAUUGCUCAGUAUAAGGAAAAAAUUUAUUGCACCCCAAUUUUUUUAUAAAAAACUUUCGCUCUGCUUUUGCUUCUGCACCGCUAGGGGGACUUUUUAAAAACAACAAUGCUGUGACUGAUUGUACUGUCUACAGUGUACUGCCAUGUUAAGUGAUUAUUUGUGAUUAUUAGCCCAAAGGAAAUAGAGCCUGCAAGUUGGACAUGUCAUGGGAGCAGUAACUGGAGCUGCCAAAAUUGGUUUCGGGAUAGCCGGACAAGGUCCAGGGCAGGCAACGAUGAACUCUCCGCCGGAAUGCUCCAUCACAAGUUUCGCUUAGCGGUCAUCUAAACACAGAUUUAUAUGUGAUGUAACGUACCCUAUCCAGGUUCAAGUUCGAGAUUUUAGAAGCAGUUUAACGAAUAUCCAGCAGCCUCAUAUAAAUGCAGAUUUCCCACUUCCCAUAUGCAAAUUACUUGAUCUGGAUGAGAUGACUGAUGCAAUGUAACAGAAAAAUGUAACAGAAAAAAGAUUGGAAAUCCCUGUGUUACCAAGCUAUAUAGUUCUUGAAUUACAAACCGAGUGUGGUCUGUGUGGAUGAUUUUUGGGACUCCUGCUAAUAUUAAAAAACCAUCUGGUGUGUCAUUUAUUAAGCUGAUGGUUGGAAGUUGGAACACCAUGUUUGAGGUUUCUCAAGCAAAGGGACACUUAAUCUAUUGCCCAUCUUUAUUCUGGUCGAAAACACUUCGUCGGGCUUUGGUCUCGUGUCCAGAAAAAUCGAAAGUUUACUGCUCGUAACGAUGCUAUGCCUGCCAUACACAUCUCCAGAAAUAGCAGCUGCCCUGGCCCUUGCUGGAACUUAAUUUAGAUUGUGUCCCGCGGACUUCGAAACUUGAAUAAGAAUUUUCAUUUAACUUUUAAAAGUCAACAGAUGCUAACCCGAUGCCACCCGUUUGCGGAUAAGGGGCCUGCUCGUGGAUUCGAUCCACGCCAGGAAAUCUAUCAAGCCCCAGGGGAUCCCACCAAAGUUACUGUUGACGUAGAUCCCAAGUCUAGCUGCGUCUUCAAUUGCUGGAGAACCGAGAGCCUUUAAGCCAUGGAGUGGCUAGAUCUAUAGAGAAGAUCUAUAGAAAAGAUCUAUAGAUAAGAUCUAUAGAUAAGAUCUAUAGAUAAGAUCUAUAGAGAAGAUGUUAAUUUGGCAAUGGCAAAAAAGAAAGUGGGUGGAAAGUGCACCACAGAUCACACUUCAGCAGCUGGGCCGUGGCUAAGGUCAAGGAAAGGCUCAACAUCAGCCUUACAUUUACGACAGUUUUUAUCCAAACCUAUCCUAUCAAUACCCAAACUACUAUCCAAUCUCUGAUAGCCGGACCCCAAAUUUAGCUUAUGACAAACGCUUUUUAUUCGGUUCUUUACCAACAACAACAACUACGACGACAACCACAACAACCACGACAUGCACUGUAUCGACCGCUGCAACCUGUAAUACUACUGGUCGAAAAAAAAGAGCUCUUGAAGAGGACGAGGAAAAUAUUGAACCUUCUCCUGUAAACGAAGUUGAAGCCACAAUUGUUUCCGAGAUGCCAUAUGUAAUCAGGAAAGAACGUAAACCUGAUCCUCAGCUUGCAAACUGGCGUCCUGAUUUUCCAUCAUACGAACUUCGGUCCACAAUCGGCCAACGUCCUUUCUCUAACAACUACAAUCCAUACUUUCGUCGGCCGAUGAUUGUAGGCGAUCCAAAAUAUUUCCUGUAUUAUGGUUACACGACAACAACUACUUCUACAGUAACUACUACAUCUCGGUCAACUCCGAUUUGCUCUCAAGCAAGUAGUUUUAACUCUUGUUAAGCGCUUUUCAAAUCUACGGACAAGCGAGAAGUUUCUAUUAUUCGCAUAUUAACCGAUGUCCAUGAACUAAGGUGUAAGGUACCGAAGUUUAAGGCGAUAAAUAAUUAAUAAUGAAUUAAUUGUAAAGGAAUGAAUAACAUGUUCUUGAGAUUCCUUGGAAAUAAACAGACCAAUGCUGUCAUCAA
Molecule: long non-coding RNA, 2118 nt
Filed under: Daphnia pulex (common water flea)
Lineage: Eukaryota; Metazoa; Arthropoda; Branchiopoda; Diplostraca; Daphniidae
Description: uncharacterized LOC124192535, transcript variant X2
Source: RNAcentral